UACGAAGGGGGCAAGCGUUGUUCGGAAUUACUGGGCGUAAAGAGCACGUAGGUUGUAAGAUUAGUUAGAGGUGAAAUCCCAGGGCUUAACCCUGGAUGUGCCUUUAAUACUGUUUUACUAGAGUUUGUGAUGGGAUAGUGGAAUAUCUAGUGUAGAGGUAAAAUUCGUAGAUAUUAGAUGGAACACCAGAGGCGAAGGCGACUAUCUGGCACAAUACUGACACUGAGGUGCGAAAGCGUGGGGAGCAAACAGG
This 253-nucleotide ribosomal RNA is filed under the name uncultured bacterium. RNAcentral's name for it is "partial 16S ribosomal RNA". It matches the Rfam family "Bacterial small subunit ribosomal RNA", at positions 524 to 776 of the family's 1533-position model. The record is from RNAcentral.